AAAUUGAAGAGUUUGAUCAUGGCUCAGAUUGAACGCUGGCGGCAGGCCUAACACAUGCAAGUCGAACGGUAACAGGAAGAAGCUUGCUUCUUUGCUGACGAGUGGCGGACGGGUGAGUAAUGUCUGGGAAACUGCCUGAUGGAGGGGGAUAACUACUGGAAACGGUAGCUAAUACCGCAUAACGUCGCAAGACCAAAGAGGGGGACCUUCGGGCCUCUUGCCAUCGGAUGUGCCCAGAUGGGAUUAGCUAGUAGGUGGGGUAACGGCUCACCUAGGCGACGAUCCCUAGCUGGUCUGAGAGGAUGACCAGCCACACUGGAACUGAGACACGGUCCAGACUCCUACGGGAGGCAGCAGUGGGGAAUAUUGCACAAUGGGCGCAAGCCUGAUGCAGCCAUGCCGCGUGUAUGAAGAAGGCCUUCGGGUUGUAAAGUACUUUCAGCGGGGAGGAAGGGAGUAAAGUUAAUACCUUUGCUCAUUGACGUUACCCGCAGAAGAAGCACCGGCUAACUCCGUGCCAGCAGCCGCGGUAAUACGGAGGGUGCAAGCGUUAAUCGGAAUUACUGGGCGUAAAGCGCACGCAGGCGGUUUGUUAAGUCAGAUGUGAAAUCCCCGGGCUCAACCUGGGAACUGCAUCUGAUACUGGCAAGCUUGAGUCUCGUAGAGGGGGGUAGAAUUCCAGGUGUAGCGGUGAAAUGCGUAGAGAUCUGGAGGAAUACCGGUGGCGAAGGCGGCCCCCUGGACGAAGACUGACGCUCAGGUGCGAAAGCGUGGGGAGCAAACAGGAUUAGAUACCCUGGUAGUCCACGCCGUAAACGAUGUCGACUUGGAGGUUGUGCCCUUGAGGCGUGGCUUCCGGAGCUAACGCGUUAAGUCGACCGCCUGGGGAGUACGGCCGCAAGGUUAAAACUCAAAUGAAUUGACGGGGGCCCGCACAAGCGGUGGAGCAUGUGGUUUAAUUCGAUGCAACGCGAAGAACCUUACCUGGUCUUGACAUCCACGGAAGUUUUCAGAGAUGGAAUGGUGCCUUCGGGAACCGUGAGACAGGUGCUGCAUGGCUGUCGUCAGCUCGUGUUGUGAAAUGUUGGGUUAAGUCCCGCAACGAGCGCAACCCUUAUCCUUUGUUGCCAGCGGUCCGGCCGGGAACUCAAAGGAGACUGCCAGUGAUAAACUGGAGGAAGGUGGGGAUGACGUCAAGUCAUCAUGGCCCUUACGACCAGGGCUACACACGUGCUACAAUGGCGCAUACAAAGAGAAGCGACCUCGCGAGAGCAAGCGGACCUCAUAAAGUGCGUCGUAGUCCGGAUUGGAGUCUGCAACUCGACUCCAUGAAGUCGGAAUCGCUAGUAAUCGUGGAUCAGAAUGCCACGGUGAAUACGUUCCCGGGCCUUGUACACACCGCCCGUCACACCAUGGGAGUGGGUUGCAAAAGAAGUAGGUAGCUUAACCUUCGGGAGGGCGCUUACCACUUUGUGAUUCAUGACUGGGGUGAAGUCGUAACAAGGUAACCGUAGGGGAACCUGCGGUUGGAUCACCUCCUUACCUUAAAGAA
RNAcentral lists this ribosomal RNA (1552 nucleotides) under Escherichia coli. RNAcentral's name for it is "bacterial SSU rRNA". It matches the Rfam family "Bacterial small subunit ribosomal RNA". The record is from RNAcentral. Lineage: Bacteria; Pseudomonadati; Pseudomonadota; Gammaproteobacteria; Enterobacterales; Enterobacteriaceae.